Molecule: long non-coding RNA, 463 nt
Filed under: Homo sapiens (human)
Lineage: Eukaryota; Metazoa; Chordata; Mammalia; Primates; Hominidae
Description: non-protein coding lnc-NXPH1-7:1
Source: RNAcentral
CUCUUACUGGCUACAAUAGGGGAUUUAACGUCAAGAGUAUGUCUGUUGAAGAUGGUCACCAUGGCAGUGUGGCUGGUGACAGAAAAGAUGGUCUACUAAUUAAAGUAUCUGGCUUCACUGCUCGGGAGAUUAUUCUGAGUCAUCCAGGCUAAAUCAGUGGUGGCUAUGCAGCCAUGCUGGGAUUGUCACAAUGCUUGCUAUGCAGCCAUGCUGUAUUGUCACAUUACUUGCUAAUUUUUUAGUUGAAGGAAAGGUUGCUCUAAGGAUACUAGCCCCAGAUUAUUGAAAUCUGCUGAAGCUUCCAUCAUUCAUAUGGUUCCUGGAUUCUCUAUCAUUCUCUGGUUCAUUUUACUAUUUACAAUAUGAGACAUAAGUUGUUGUGGGUAUCAUCAAUGCAGUGUACAAGAAAACUGCCUGAACUGGCAAGGUCACCAUGUCAGUCAAGAAAGCUCAUGAAAGUGAA